This 72-nucleotide transfer RNA is filed under the name Gulosibacter chungangensis. RNAcentral's name for it is "Gulosibacter sp. CAU9625 tRNA". It matches the Rfam family "tRNA". Rfam says of the family: Transfer RNA (tRNA) molecules are approximately 80 nucleotides in length. Their secondary structure includes four short double-helical elements and three loops (D, anti-codon, and T loops). Further hydrogen bonds mediate the characteristic L-shaped molecular structure. tRNAs have two regions of fundamental functional importance: the anti-codon, which is responsible for specific mRNA codon recognition, and the 3' end, to which the tRNAs corresponding amino acid is attached (by aminoacyl-tRNA synthetases). tRNAs cope with the degeneracy of the genetic code in two manners: having more than one tRNA (with a specific anti-codon) for a particular amino acid; and 'wobble' base-pairing, i.e. permitting non-standard base-pairing at the 3rd anti-codon position. The record is from Rfam by way of RNAcentral. RNAcentral also lists the same sequence under 1 other name. Lineage: Bacteria; Bacillati; Actinomycetota; Actinomycetes; Micrococcales; Microbacteriaceae.
GCGCCUCUAGCUCAAUGGUAGAGCAAUUGACUCUUAAUCAAUGGGUUCCGGGUUCGAGCCCCGGGGGGCGCA